This 1362-nucleotide ribosomal RNA is filed under the name Clostridium liquoris. RNAcentral's name for it is "bacterial LSU rRNA". It matches the Rfam family "Bacterial large subunit ribosomal RNA", at positions 1548 to 2925 of the family's 2925-position model. The record is from RNAcentral. Lineage: Bacteria; Bacillati; Bacillota; Clostridia; Eubacteriales; Clostridiaceae.
AGUUGAAUCUGAGGUGUUAUGGGGAGCCAAUUUUGGCGAAGUACCUGAUUCCACACUGUCGAGAAAAGCCUCUAUGGAGGAAGUUGGUGCCCGUACCGCAAACCGACACAGGUAGGUGAGGAGAGAAUCCUAAGACCAUCGGAAGAAUUGUUGUUAAGGAACUCGGCAAAUUAGCCCCGUAACUUCGGGAGAAGGGGUGCCAUGGAAACAUGGUCGCAGUGAAUAGGCCCAAGCAACUGUUUAGCAAAAACACAGGUCUCUGCUAAAGCGAAAGCUGAUGUAUAGGGGCUGACGCCUGCCCGGUGCUGGAAGGUUAAGGGGAUCCGUUAACGUAAGUGAAGCGGUGAACUUAAGCCCCAGUAAACGGCGGCCGUAACUAUAACGGUCCUAAGGUAGCGAAAUUCCUUGUCGGGUAAGUUCCGACCCGCACGAAUGGCGUAAUGACUUGGGCACUGUCUCAACAACAAAUCCGGCGAAAUUGUAGUGCAAGUGAAGAUGCUUGCUACCCGCGAUUGGACGGAAAGACCCCGUAGAGCUUUACUGUAGCUUAGCAUUGAGUUUCGGUAUUGUCUGUACAGGAUAGGUGGGAGACUUGGAAACAGGGGCGUUAGCCUCUGCGGAGUCAUCCUUGGGAUACCACCCUGACAGUACUGAGAUUCUAACCGGCGGCCAUGAAUCUGGUCACGGGACAUUGUUAGGUGGGCAGUUUGACUGGGGCGGUCGCCUCCAAAAAAGUAACGGAGGCGCCCAAAGGUUCCCUCAGUGCGGUUGGAAAUCGCGCGUAGAGUGCAAAGGCAGAAGGGAGCCUGACUGCGACACAUACAAGUGGAGCAGGGACGAAAGUCGGGCUUAGUGAUCCGGUGGUUCCUCGUGGGAGGGCCAUCGCUCAACGGAUAAAAGCUACCUCGGGGAUAACAGGCUGAUCUCCCCCAAGAGUCCACAUCGACGGGGAGGUUUGGCACCUCGAUGUCGGCUCGUCGCAUCCUGGGGCUGAAGUAGGUCCCAAGGGUUGGGCUGUUCGCCCAUUAAAGCGGCACGCGAGCUGGGUUCAGAACGUCGUGAGACAGUUCGGUCCCUAUCCGUCGCGGGCGUAGGAAAUUUGAGAGGAGCUGUCCUUAGUACGAGAGGACCGGGAUGGACUGACCUCUGGUGCACCAGUUGUCACGCCAGUGGCACAGCUGGGUAGCUAUGUCGGGAAGGGAUAAACGCUGAAAGCAUCUAAGCGUGAAGCCCACCUCAAGAUUAGAUUUCCCAUAGCGUAAGCUAGUAAGACCCCUUGAAGAACACAAGGUUGAUAGGCUAGAGGUGUAAGUGUAGUAAUACAUUCAGCUGACUAGUACUAAUAGGUCGAGGGCUUGAUCU